ACGAUGGUGGAGGAGCUUGCUCCUCCGGAUUAGUGGCGAACGGGUGAGUAAUACGUGAGCAAUGUGCCCUUGACUCUGGGAUAAGCGCUGGAAACGGCGUCUAAUACCGGAUACGACCACCGGAGGCAUCUCCUGGUGGUGGACCAAGAGACAUUCUGAGAUCAAGGGAUCAGCUAGCACGGUCCUGGCAUCACGCUAGUUGGUGAGGUAAUGGCUCACCGAGGCGACGACGGGUAGCCGGCCUGAGAGGGUGACCGGCCACACUGGGACUGAGACACGGCCCAAACUCUCUACGGGAGGCAGCAGUGGGGAAUAUUGCACAAUGGGCGCAAGCCUGAUGCACCAACGCCGCGUGAGGGACGAAGGCCUUCGGGUUGUAAACCUCUUUUACCAGGGAAGAAGCGAAAGUGACGGUACCUGCAGAAAAAGCACCGGCUAACUACGUGCCAUCAGCCGCGGUAAUACGUAGGGUGCAAGCGUUGUCCGGAAUUAUUGGGCGUAAAGAGCUCGUAGGCGGUUUGUCACGUCUGCUGUGAAAACCCGAGGCUCAACCUCGGGCUUUGCAGUGGGUACGGGCAGACUAGAGUGCGGUAGGGGAGAUUGGAAUUCCUGGUGUAGCGGUGGAAUGCGCAGAUAUCAGGAGGAACACCGAUGGCGAAGGCAGAUCUCUGGGCCGUAACUGACGCUGAGGAGCGAAAGCAUGGGGAGCAAACAGGCUUAGAUACCCUGGUAGUCCAUGCCGUAAACGUUGGGAACUAGAUGUGGGGACCAUUCCACGGUCUCCGUGUCGUAGCUAACGCAUUAACGUUCCCCGCCUGGGGAGUACGGCCGCAAGGCUAAAACUCAAAGGAAUUGACGGGGGCCCGCACAAGCGGCGGAGCAUGCGGAUUAAUUAGAUGCAACGCGAAGAACCUUACCAAGGCUUGACAUAUACGAGAACGCACUGGAGACAGUGAACUCUUUGGACACUCGUAUACAGGUGGUGCAUGGUUGUUGUCAGCUCGUGUCGUGAGAUGUUGGGUUAAGUCCCGCAACGAGCGCAACCCUCGUCUUAUGUUGCCAGCACGUAAUGGUGGGAACUCAUGGGAUACUGCCGGGGUCAACUCGGAGGAAGGUGGGGAUGAGGUCAAAUCAUCAUGCCCCUUAUGUCUUGGGCUUCACGCAUGCUCCAAUGGCCGGUACAAUGGGCUGCGAUACCGCAAGGUGGAGCGAAUCCCAAAAACCCGGUCUCAGUUCGGAUUGAGGUCUGCAACUCGACCUCAGGAAGUCGGAGUCGUUAGUAAUCGCAGAUCAGCAACGCUGCGGUGAAUACGUUCCCGGGCCUUGUACACCCCGCCCGUCAAGUCAUGAAAGUCGGUAACACCCGAAGCCAGUGGCCUAACC
Molecule: ribosomal RNA, 1383 nt
Filed under: Agrococcus jenensis
Lineage: Bacteria; Bacillati; Actinomycetota; Actinomycetes; Micrococcales; Microbacteriaceae
Description: 16S ribosomal RNA
Rfam family: Bacterial small subunit ribosomal RNA
Source: RNAcentral